Non-coding RNA from Astyanax mexicanus (Mexican tetra), 764 nucleotides. NCBI's taxonomy places the organism in Eukaryota, Metazoa, Chordata, Actinopteri, Characiformes, Acestrorhamphidae. The record is from the annotation of a RefSeq genome assembly.
UUUUAGAAAUCCAAAACACCGCAGAUGUGAUGUUGUAAAGGAUGAGUGAGUUGAGUGAGGGGAGGUUUUUGUAGGAGGGCUUAGCCUGGCUGAAUCACUGUGGUACAUGUUCGGACAAGGCACCAAACUCAUUGUGAAACGUCGACCACUAUCCUCUCCAGUGAUCAGUCUGCAGAGUACAGGUCUAGAGAAGUCCACUCCUGAUAAAGCCACGCUGGUCUGUCAAAUCAACAAAUUCUACCCUGAUCAUGUUACUGUGAGCUGGAGUGUGGACGGGCAGGACGUGUCAGGAAACAAGCAGGACACUCAGUCGGUCCGGAGCUCUGACGGGACAUACAGCAUGAGCAGCAUUCUGACGAUGUCCCGCUCAGCCUGGGAGGCUGCAGAGGCUUUCACCUGCCAGGUUCAGCACGAGAGCCUGAGCACACCUGCAAGCCACACUGUGACCAAGAGCCAGUGCCAGGAGUGACGGGUAGACCAUGCAGGUGUGGCAGGGCAGUAAUAACUGAAACAGCCCACACUCAGUCUCACUUCUGUUUCUCACUUUCACAUCAUACUCUCUCUCUCUCUCUAUCUGUUUCACACUCUGUCACACAUUAACCACCUUUAUAUAAAAAAAGAAUAAAUGCAAAUAAAUACAAAUACAAAAGGAAUUCAGAGUCGUGACAUUUAUUAUAUCUACAAAUAAUAUGGUUUAAAGAUGUUCUGUUUUAUUACCUUUUUGUUGUAAUUCUCAAAUUGGUGAAAUAAAUAUUUCUCAUAUA